GUUGUCCAGCAGUUCGGCUGGGCACUCUAAAGGGAACUGCCGGUGUUAAACCGGAGGAAGUGGGGAUGACGUCAAGUCCUCAUGGCCUUUAUGACCAGGGCUACACACGUACUACAAUGGCCGAUACAAAGGGCAGCGACACUGCGAGGUGAAGCCAAUCCCGUAAAAUACGGUCUCAGUCCGGAUUGGAGUCUGCAACUCGACUCCAUGAAGUUGGAAUCGCUAGUAAUCGUGGAUCAGCAUGCCACGGUGAAUACGUUCCCGGGCCUU
This 270-nucleotide ribosomal RNA is filed under the name uncultured Desulfobulbus sp. RNAcentral's name for it is "partial 16S ribosomal RNA". It matches the Rfam family "Bacterial small subunit ribosomal RNA", at positions 1114 to 1382 of the family's 1533-position model. The record is from RNAcentral. Lineage: Bacteria; Pseudomonadati; Thermodesulfobacteriota; Desulfobulbia; Desulfobulbales; Desulfobulbaceae.